Molecule: small nuclear RNA, 107 nt
Filed under: Macaca fascicularis (crab-eating macaque)
Lineage: Eukaryota; Metazoa; Chordata; Mammalia; Primates; Cercopithecidae
Source: RNAcentral
GUGCUCCCCUUGGCAGCACAUAUACUAAAAUUGGAAUGAUACAGAGAAGAUUAGCAUAGCCCCUGCACAAGGAUGACACACAAAUUCGUGAAAUGUUCCAUAUUUUG